This 356-nucleotide unclassified non-coding RNA is filed under the name uncultured Geodermatophilaceae bacterium. Its description in RNAcentral is "contains 16S-23S intergenic spacer region". Lineage: Bacteria; Bacillati; Actinomycetota; Actinomycetes; Geodermatophilales; Geodermatophilaceae. The record is from RNAcentral.
UCCGAGUUGACCCCGGCAUUAUCCGCUGGCAACAUAGAACGAGGGUUGCGCUCGUUGCGGGACUUAACCCAACAUCUCACGACACGAGCUGACGACAACCAUGCACCACCUGUGCACGGCCCUUACGGACCCACCAUCUCUGGAGGAUUUCCGUGCAUGUCAAGCCUAGGUAAGGUUCUUCGCGUUGCAUCGAAUUAAGCAACAUGCUCCGCCGCUUGUGCGGGCCCCCGUCAAUUCCUUUGAGUUUUAGCCUUGCGGCCGUACUCCCCAGGCGGGGCGCUUAAUGCGUUAGCUGCGGCACGGAACUCGUGGAAUGAGCCCCACACCUAGCGCCCAACGUUUACGGCGUGGACUAC